This 301-nucleotide ribosomal RNA is filed under the name uncultured bacterium. Its description in RNAcentral is "partial 16S ribosomal RNA". It matches the Rfam family "Bacterial small subunit ribosomal RNA", at positions 509 to 807 of the family's 1533-position model. The record is from RNAcentral.
CAGUCGCCGCGGGAAAACGAAGGGGGCUAGCGUUGUUCGGAAUUACCGGGCGUAAAGCGCACGUAGGCGGAUAUUUAAGUCAGGGGUGAAAUCCCGCAGCUCAACUGCGGAACUGCCUUUGAUACUGGGUAUCUUGAGUAUGGAAGAGGUUAGUGGAAUUGCGAGUGUAGAGGUGAAAUUCGUAGAUAUUCGCAGGAACACCAGUGGCGAAGGCGGCUAACUGGUCCAUAACUGACGCUGAGGUGCGAAAGCGUGGGGAGCAAACAGGAUUAGAUACCCCUGUAGUCCCUGUCUCUUAUAC